This 68-nucleotide transfer RNA is filed under the name Alexandromys montebelli (Japanese grass vole). Its description in RNAcentral is "tRNA-Arg". Lineage: Eukaryota; Metazoa; Chordata; Mammalia; Rodentia; Cricetidae. The record is from RNAcentral.
UGGUAAUUAGUUUAACUAAAAUUAAUGAUUUCGACUCAUUAGAUUACGACAGUAUCGUAAUUACCAAA